CUCCCCUACCCUGCCGCCUCCGCCAGUCCGCCUCCUUGCGCCUACCCCACCGCCGUCGCCCGCCGCCUUCUCCACCAGCGCCGACGCCUCCUCACGCCUACCCCAUUGCCGUCGCUGUCGUCGGCCCCGCCUUCUCCGCCGGCGGCAGCCGCGAAACCUACCCCGCCGCCGACGUCUCCUCGCGCCUACCACCCCCUACUCUCACGCUCCGUCGCCGAUCUCCUUCGCCGUUGCCCCGCCAUCGAUCUCCGACGCCGGAACUCCGUUGCAUGUCGCACGUCACCCAGAUCGGCGUCGCUCCAAGAUUGGCGUCACGGUCGCGGGCGUCGAUCUCGCUCCCCUAUCGGCAUCGCAAUCACUGGCGAUGAUAUCGUGGCCUCGAACCUUCGUAGCUGUCUCCAUCGCCUUCGCCGCUGCUGAUCCUGCUUCCCCAGUUCGCCGUCGUCGCCUUCGAUCCGGCGGGCCACGCCUCUGUCCACGCCCACCGCGGAGUGCGCCCCUCCAGCCAGUACAGCAGCAUCGCCACUGCCGACAGGAGCAGCAUCCCCGUCCAGAUUGUCAGCAGACAACCAGCCUCACCAUUUCAUUUGUGGCGAGCACCUUAAUUCCAUCUUGCCAUUGUCAAGAGUAUAUCAUCUGCAUCUAAUUCUGUAUAUUGAGUAUAUAUUGACUAGGAUCUUGGAAAUUUUUGAAUUGUUGUCAGAUAUUAAGUUCCUUAGUUUGAUGAUUUGAUUAGUUUUGCAACUAAUCACCAUUGAUCACAAGUAAACACCACUUAUAGCAGUUUAAUGGCUAUUUAUCUAAAAAGGAAAAAACUAGAAGUUUAAUGACUGAAACUGCAGUGGUACUAUGAUCUAUAAACAAGAAAUCUGCUGAGUUUCCUAGCAGUUGUUGGGUGCACUUUCCUCUUGCUGUGUCAUCCAUUAAAUUUCAAAAACUGCAAAUUCUUUGUAUAGGUAUUACUGGGACUCAAAUGUACACCUUUCAGUUCACACUCAAUUUUGUAGAACAGUAAAAGCGUGAAAAUAUAGGAAAUAUAAUUGAUUUGUUCAGAAAAUUAUUCAAAUGCUAACACACUGCCUAGGUAAUCACUUUCUCAACAUAAGUAUAUGUACAACAAUGCAUAUUGUUUCUACUUUUCACAAUUGGGAACCUGAAUACAUAAGUAUAUGUACAACAAUGCAUAUUGUUUCUACUUUUCACAAUUGGGAACCUGAAAUAUCAAGAUUCUAAAACUAAUGUGUGUCUGCUGUACAGUUCUUAAAACAAUGCUAUGGAAUAUUCUAUGACUAAUAUGUUGCACUGUAGAGUUCUGAAGAUUCUUCAAUCAAAGCGUGGGAAACUUCUGAGGGAAAGUUUGUCAAAAAAAUUCAGGUUACCAGUGUUUUGGUGGACAUUUACAUACUUAUGCAAUUUGAUAUGCUAAAUGAAUUUACUACUAAUACAUUACAUCAAUCUUCUGUUUGUAACUGGUUCAAUGGACCAUUAGAGCUUUCUGUUGACAAAUUAAAUGAGCUUUGUUCAUUUAUCCAACAACUUUUCUUUUUCUGAAUCUUGCUCCAAAUUUUGUCAUAUUAUUGACUAUUAUUUUUUUUAAACCAUGCAAAUAAUUUGUUGAUAUAACGAUGUUCACUUGGCAUAAGAAAUCAUAGCAGUGGAGGUAAUUUUUUUUC
Oryza sativa Japonica Group (Japanese rice) is the source of this 1673-nucleotide non-coding RNA. The record is from RefSeq and is a predicted model, not a curated record. Lineage: Eukaryota; Viridiplantae; Streptophyta; Magnoliopsida; Poales; Poaceae.